Long non-coding RNA from Mobula hypostoma (lesser devil ray), 3128 nucleotides. RefSeq lists it as uncharacterized. The transcript is spliced from 3 exons. The record is from RefSeq and is a predicted model, not a curated record. NCBI's taxonomy places the organism in Eukaryota, Metazoa, Chordata, Chondrichthyes, Myliobatiformes, Myliobatidae.
GCUCAAAAUGCCGAGGAAGCCCUGUAGGUCAGGUAACAUCUAUAGAGGGAAAUGAAAGUCGACGUUUCGGGCCGAGCCCCUUCAUAAGGCCUUCAACUUUCUCGUCGGCCUCCUACAUUGUUCUAAGCUGCAGUUGGCAGUGAGUUCAACAGCUUCAGAUCGUGGAACAUUAUAGGCGGUCCCUUUUCCCGCUACAAUCAAGUUCCGACUUAAUUCCUAAACUUCCAGAAUAUUAAGUUGGAAAUCAAACUGAAAUGUAGCUCCCGCAGAAACACUCAGCAGGUCAGCCAACAUUUGUGGAUGAUGUCUCAAAGUCAAGAGUCAAAGUUAGCUUGAGAUUCAUUUUCUUGCAGGCAUUUAACAGAUAUUAAAAAAUAUGUAUUUGAAUUAAUGGAAAACUAUACAUAAAGAAGGACUGGCAAACAACCGUUGUUUAAAAGAACACAAGAAGUGCCAGUAAAAAAAAGUUGUGGAGUCCUUGAAAGUAAGUGUAGGUUGUGGAAUCUCUUCAUAGUUGUGAGUGAAGUUAUCCACACUAGUUCUAAAGUUCUGUCACAGACAUCUGUGGAGGCCUAAGACUGUGGAUAUAUUUAAAGUGGAAAUAGAUAGUUUCCUGAUUGCCCAGGGGAAACAAAGGUUAUGGUGAGAAGGCAGGUGUAUGGGAUUGAGUGGGAUCAGCCACAGGCAGCAGACUCAAAGGGCUGAAUGGCUUGAUUUUGCUCCUAUGUCCUAUGUCAGGAGCCUGAUGGUUUUAGGGUAACAACUGCUCUUGAAUCUAGUAGCAUGGGACCUAAGGGUCCUCUACAUCCUGUCUGAUGGUAGUAGCGAGAUGAACAUGUGGAUGAUGGAUGCUGAUUUCCUGUGACAGUGCUCCAUGUAAAUGUACUCAAUAGUGGAGAGGGCUUUCCCUAUGAUGUACCGGGCUGUAUCCGCCAUUUUCUGGAGAUUUUCCCAUUCCGGGGUAUGAUGCAACCAUUUAGGAUUCUCUCCACUGUGCAUCCAUAGACAUUUGUAAAAAUUUUAGAUGUUAUACAAACUUCUAAGAAAGUAGAGGUGCUGUUGUGUCUUCUUUGUGAUGGCACCUACGUGCUGGUCACAGGACAGAUUAGGCCUGAGACCAUCAUAACUGGGAAAGGGGAAACAACUUAGUUUACCUUUUGCGGAGAAGAUGUGGGUGGUAUAAGUAGCUUCCCAUUUAAGAUGGUGCUGGUGAAGUCCAGCAACUACUUUUUUUUAGAUUAUGAGGACAUGCAGUCCUCUUUUAUUGUCAUUUAGUAUUGCAUGCUUUAAGAAAUGAUACAAUGUUUUUCCAGAAUGAUAUCACAGAAACACAUGACAAACUGACUUAAAAACUAAGAAAAACCACAUAAUUAUAACAUAUAGUUACAACAGUGCAAAGCAAUACCGUAAUUUGAUAAGAACAGACCAUGGGCACGGUAAAAGUCUCAAAAGUCUCUCGAAAGUCCCAUCAUCUCACGCAGAUGGUAAACCUCCAGCGCCGCAAACUUGCCGAUGCAGCAUCCUGGCAGUAUCCAACCACAGUCCGACUCUGAGUCCGUCCAAAAUCUCCAAGCCUCCGACCAGCUCUCUGACACCGAGCACCAUUUCUGCCAAGCGCUUCGACUGCAGUCCUGGCAAUAGGCAAAGCCGAGGAUUUGGGGUCUUUCCCUCCGGAGAUUCUCGAUCGCACAGCAGCAGUGGCAGCGAAGCGGGCAUUUCAUAAGUUUCUCCAGGUGUUCCUCUGUGCUUCUCACGUCUGUCUCCAUCAAAUCAGGAUUGUGCACGGCAUCCUACUUCACAAAUACGAUAUCAUUCAGAACAGCCGCACACACUACGUGGCGUCGCCAUCUUCUCCCUCCUUUUGGCAGCAGACAAAGCAAAGAAUACUUUAUUAAUAACACUUUCUCUGGUAAACGAUCACAAACAAUGGAGGCGAGGCCCAUCCACUAAAACGAAAGCAAGGAAAGGCCCGAGUUUUGAUUGCUCUAAGCGCCAGGCCGAUAUGGAAAGGUCAGGUGCGGGCCGAAACAUGGCGGUGAGAUCCAGGCCCAGAAGAUAUCAAGUCAUCAGGACCCGGGGCCUAGAGUGAGGAAUGACUCAAUGUUUGGGCGAUUUAAAUGCUGGGCCAGAUUGGAAAGAUGCCUGCAAGAAAGUGAAUCUCAAGGUAGUAUGUGGUAACAUACUUUGAUAAUAAAUUUGAACUCUUGAACUGACAGCUGGGAGGAUUAUCUUGGCACCUCUGAACGCUGUGCACCUCAAUACCUCUGUACUUCAAUUGCUCGUACAGAUCAUGGUCAACUGUGCUGAAUGCCUCAGACCUGGACUUCAUUUGGGAAUGGAUCUCUCAUGGUUUCCUGUUGGUGAACACUUCUUUGAUACACAGCCCUUUACACACCUAGUGGUAAAAUCUGUUACGCAUUGGCUUAGUCAUUUGGGUUAACUAGUCCACUGACUCAGAGCAGCUAGUUAAGAGCUCAUCUCUUUCCUCAGGUCAGCACCGUACCAGAUCCUCAUGUAUGCUUGAAAGAGUUCAAAAGUACACGUGGACUAAGAUGUUAACUGUUGAAUGAACACAGCUUGAUUAUCUACCUUUUCAAAAUGCUUGUAGUGGAUGGAGCAGUAGACAUGGUUGGUGGUUAUGUAACAGUAUCCAUGUCCUAAUAGUGAAUGUACAAUUAUCAGCACAUCUCCUAUCAGCACACAAGAUGGGCUGAUAAUUGUAGAGGUAUUGUUCGUCAUUUUCAAACCAUCUGAAGCUAAUGGGGUUGUGACACACAACUGAAGAGUUGCAAACAUCACCCUUAUUCAAGAAAGGGUAUAAGGACAAACAAUUUACAGCCCAGUCAGCUUAAUUUCAGCCUUUCAGAAUGAUAAUCAAGAACAUAAUCAGCUAUCAUUUGGACAAUGUGGAGUGAUGAGAAAAAAACCUUUGAUUUGUUGAAGAUGCCGUCUGACCUGCUGAGUAUUUCCAGUACAUCCCAAUUUUGUCUCAGAUUUCCAGAUUCUGCAUUCCCCCCUCCCCACCCCCAAAAUCUAGCAUUGGGUGACUGAAAUGGGCACCCAGAAUGAACCAGUCUCACUUCAAUGAGCACAAAGUUUUCCAGAGGAAAGAAAAAUAAUCCAUAAAU